This 135-nucleotide small nucleolar RNA is filed under the name Dasypus novemcinctus (nine-banded armadillo). Lineage: Eukaryota; Metazoa; Chordata; Mammalia; Cingulata; Dasypodidae. The record is from RNAcentral.
AAUUGAUGGCAUAGAAUCUGCAGCUACUUCUACAUAACUACUAUGGUCAAUAAGGAGCCCAGAAUGACAUUUUUCCCUGAUGGUUUCCAUUCUGUUUGCUGUAAAUGAUCUGCAACAAUUUGGGAAUGACCAUUU